RNAcentral lists this ribosomal RNA (301 nucleotides) under uncultured bacterium. RNAcentral describes it as "partial 16S ribosomal RNA". It matches the Rfam family "Bacterial small subunit ribosomal RNA", at positions 509 to 807 of the family's 1533-position model. The record is from RNAcentral.
CAGUCGCCGCGGUAAUACGGAGGGUGCAAGCGUUAUCCGGAUUUAUUGGGUUUAAAGGGUCCGUAGGCGGAUCUGUAAGUCAGUGGUGAAAUCUCACAGCUUAACUGUGAAACUGCCAUUGAUACUGCAGGUCUUGAGUAAAUUUGAAGUGGCUGGAAUAAGUAGUGUAGCGGUGAAAUGCAUAGAUAUUACUUAGAACACCAAUUGCGAAGGCAGGUCACUAAGAUUUAACUGACGCUGAUGGACGAAAGCGUGGGGAGCGAACAGGAUUAGAGACCCGCGUAGUCCCUGUCUCUUAUAC